UAUUGAUUGGUGCUUGCAUCAUGAUUUACAUUUGAGUGAGUGGCGAACUGGUGAGUAACACGUGGGAAACCUGCCCAGAAGCGGGGGAUAACACCUGGAAACAGAUGCUAAUACCGCAUAACAACUUGGACCGCAUGGUCCGAGUUUGAAAGAUGGCUUCGGCUAUCACUUUUGGAUGGUCCCGCGGCGUAUUAGCUAGAUGGUGGGGUAACGGCUCACCAUGGCAAUGAUACGUAGCCGACCUGAGAGGGUAAUCGGCCACAUUGGGACUGAGACACGGCCCAAACUCCUACGGGAGGCAGCAGUAGGGAAUCUUCCACAAUGGACGAAAGUCUGAUGGAGCAACGCCGCGUGAGUGAAGAAGGGUUUCGGCUCGUAAAACUCUGUUGUUAAAGAAGAACAUAUCUGAGAGUAACUGUUCAGGUAUUGACGGUAUUUAACCAGAAAGCCACGGCUAACUACGUGCCAGCAGCCGCGGUAAUACGUAGGUGGCAAGCGUUGUCCGGAUUUAUUGGGCGUAAAGCGAGCGCAGGCGGUUUUUUAAGUCUGAUGUGAAAGCCUUCGGCUCAACCGAAGAAGUGCAUCGGAAACUGGGAGACUUGAGUGCAGAAGAGGACAGUGGAACUCCAUGUGUAGCGGUGAAAUGCGUAGAUAUAUGGAAGAACACCAGUGGCGAAGGCGGCUGUCUGGUCUGUAACUGACGCUGAGGCUCGAAAGUAUGGGUAGCAAACAGGAUUAGAUACCCUGGUAGUCCAUACC
RNAcentral lists this ribosomal RNA (759 nucleotides) under Lactiplantibacillus plantarum. RNAcentral describes it as "bacterial SSU rRNA". It matches the Rfam family "Bacterial small subunit ribosomal RNA", at positions 68 to 801 of the family's 1533-position model. Lineage: Bacteria; Bacillati; Bacillota; Bacilli; Lactobacillales; Lactobacillaceae. The record is from RNAcentral.